ACUGGUCUACACAUGUGGUGAGCAAGGCAGACAAGGUUCCUUGAAGCUUACCUUUCAGUGGGGAGGGAAGGGGGACAGACAAAAGAAACUAGAAAUAGACAAGAUAAUUUGCGUUAGUGAUAGGUGCUAUCAGGGAAACACCUGAUAGGAGAAAAUGGAGGGAAAGCGACUAGGUAUAAUUUAGAGUCGCCAGGGCAAGGCUGUUCUGAGGAGGUGUCCUUUGACCUGAAACCUGUGGAGAAGGAGGAGCCAGCCAUGUGCACACCUGAGGGAAGAAGGAGCAGGAACUGCUCGUGAAAAGGCGCUGAAGCUGCACUGAGCUGAGCACAGAAAGGCCACUGUAGUUUCAGCUUCAGGAGGGAGGGGGAAGGUGAUGAAGUUGUCAUCAUCAGAGUAGAGGCCAAGAAUCCUGCUACUCAACCCUCAAGAGUUGGAGUCUACAACCUACCCUCUGGAAUCUGGACAGGCCUUUGUGAACACUUCAAUUAGAGUCCUCAGGACAGCAAGUGACCUCUAAAGCUGUUAGAAAACUGCAAUGGGAUGUUUGCUGUUGGAGGAACCCAGCCUGGGCAGAUCAUGGAGAGGUCCAGACACCCUCCUGAGCCCCCAGGAAUCCACUUGGUGGCUAGGUGAGUGAGUCAGUCACCUUGAAAGGAGACCUCUCAGCCUCAAAGAAGAUCCUGUAGCUGAUGCCACAGGGAGCACCAAUAAGCUACCUUUCCAAGCCCUGCCCAAACUGUAGAUUUGGGAGCAAAAUAAAAAAUUGCUGUUGCUUUAA
This is a long non-coding RNA of Capra hircus (goat), 778 nucleotides long. RefSeq lists it as uncharacterized. The record is from RefSeq and is a predicted model, not a curated record. The transcript is spliced from 2 exons. NCBI's taxonomy places the organism in Eukaryota, Metazoa, Chordata, Mammalia, Artiodactyla, Bovidae.